Molecule: long non-coding RNA, 1254 nt
Filed under: Homo sapiens (human)
Lineage: Eukaryota; Metazoa; Chordata; Mammalia; Primates; Hominidae
Description: PREDICTED lncRNA (TCONS_00236842)
Source: RNAcentral
AGACACAGAGGCCAGUCUGGCUUCCUUCCCACCACACACCAGCCAUGGCCAAAGGCCCAGUCGGUAUCAGCCUCAGCCCUGGCUCUGGAGUGAGGAUGGUGCUGACCUGCGUGGCCUGACUGGCAAGCACGCAGAAAAAGGCACCAAUGAAGUAGAAGACCCUGGAGUAGGCAUGUCCAGAUGGCAUCACUUGGUUAGAGAUGUGCCACAGUAUCUUCACGUCCUCAAGAUUGUUGGCAUUUUUGCUCAGGCCCCUGUCACAGGCACGCAGCAGCAUGAUGUUUUUGGGAGUGGAAAUGAAGACAGUUUUAUAAGAAAGCAACUUUCUCUUGUGAGAACACAGCUGGCUCUUCAGCCAUGAGUUCUAGUUUGAAUCUGCCAGCCCUUCCCAUCUGUUUGACAUUCCACAGCUUUGUGGGUGGAGACCAGGCAUUUUUGAGUGGAGUGUCCCCCACCCCUAACCUGGAACUUGGUGCAACAUUGGAAGGUAAAGGUGGAGUUUCCAAGAGAACAGCAUUGAAGGAGGGCUGGGAAAGCACAAGACAGGAAGAGUCUGUGCCAAAAGACCCUGGAUAGGAAGAAACACAAGAAAAAAUUUAUCCAAAGUCAAGAUUGAGUGGGAGCCCAGAGGAACGUUGCAUUCAAAUGACAAAGAAUAUGAAGCCGAUAGGGAUAAAGUGAGUAACCCAAGGUCACAAGACAAGAGAGCUGGUCCAGGACAAGAACUUGGUGCUCAUGUCAGGUUCUCUCUGCCACAUCUUGAGAAUACGUGCAUCCUUUGCCUUUUAAGACUCCAUCAGCCUCGAAGUUCAUUUGUGUGGCACUAAAAGUAAACCAAAAGCAGGAAGCUAAGGAUCUUUCACCUCUAAUGCACCCUGACCUUGGCUAUUUCAUGUCAGGGUCUGUGCAGUCUAAGCCCAGGCAGCCAACAUGCUUGGAGGAUACUUCAUGUAGUGGUACCUACAGCUCUUUCCAGAAGGCCAUGAAAAUCGAAUUACAUGGUGGGCUUGACUGAGACCAAUGUCUGAGACUUGUCCUUCUGAAGAAGUGGAUGUCUGCUGCCCACUUGUGAGAAUUGCUUGCAGCCAAACGUAAGGCCGUGGGCCCAGUUAGGCACCAGAGGGCUCAUCAGCUCAUUGUCGCCCACUUUAGUCUGCCGAGAUCCCACCCACUUGAUCUUGUCGGGAGAGAAGGCUGGUUCUUCCUCAGUCACCAGGGGCCAACGUCACCCUUGCAGAGUAUGUGAGCACCAAG